Molecule: ribosomal RNA, 968 nt
Filed under: Neosetophoma sp.
Lineage: Eukaryota; Fungi; Ascomycota; Dothideomycetes; Pleosporales; Phaeosphaeriaceae
Description: partial large subunit ribosomal RNA
Rfam family: Eukaryotic large subunit ribosomal RNA
Source: RNAcentral
GAAUCCCGUACGUGGUCGCUAGCCUUCGCCGUAAAGCCCCUUCGACGAGUCGAGUUGUUUGGGAAUGCAGCUCUAAAUGGGAGGUAAAUUUCUUCUAAAGCUAAAUACUGGCCAGAGACCGAUAGCGCACAAGUAGAGUGAUCGAAAGAUGAAAAGCACUUUGGAAAGAGAGUCAAAUAGCACGUGAAAUUGUUGAAAGGGAAGCGCUUGCAGCCAGACUUGCCUGUAGUUGCUUAUCCGGACUUUUGUCCGGUGCACUCUUCUGCGGGCAGGCCAGCAUCAGUCUAGGCGGUUGGAUAAAGGUCUCUGUCAUGUACCUCUCUUCGGGGAGGCCUUAUAGGGGAGACGACAUGCAACCAGCCUGGACUGAGGUCCGCGCAUCUGCUAGGAUGCUGGCGUAAUGGCUGUAAGCGGCCCGUCUUGAAACACGGACCAAGGAGUCUAACAUCUAUAGUGUUUGGGUGUCAAGCCCAGACGCGUAAUGAAAGUGAACGGAGGUGGGAACCCUUUGGGUGCACCAUCGACCGAUCCUGAUGUCUUCGGAUGGAUUUGAGUAAGAGCAUGGCUGUUGGGACCCGAAAGAUGGUGAACUAUGCUUGAAUAGGGUGAAGCCAGAGGAAACUCUGGUGGAGGCUCGCAGCGGUUCUGACGUGCAAAUCGAUCGUCAAAUUUGGGCAUAGGGGCGAAAGACUAAUCGAACUAUCUAGUAGCUGGUUCCUGCCGAAGUUUCCCUCAGGAUAGCAGUAACGUAUUCAGUUUUAUGAGGUAAAGCGAAUGAUUAGAGGCCUGGGGGUUGAAACAACCUUCACCUAUUCUCAAACUUUAAAUAUGUAAGAAGUCCUUGUUACUUGAUUGAACGUGGACACUUGAAUGUACCGUUACUAGUGGGCCAUUUUUGGUAAGCAGAACUGGCGAUCUGUCAUGUACCUCUCUUCGGGGAGGCCUUAUAGGGGAGACGACAUGCAACC